CGUGGGUAACCUGCCUUAUAGUGGGGGAGUAGCCUUUCGAAAGGAAGAUUAAUACCGCAUAAGAUUGUAGUAUCGCAUGAUAUAGCAAUUAAAGGAGCAAUUCGCUAUAAGAUGGACCCGCGUCGCAUUAGCUAGUUGGUGAGGUAAUGGCUCACCAAGGCGACGAUGCGUAGCCGACCUGAGAGGGNGAUCGGCCACAUUGGGACUGAGACACGGCCCAGACUCCUACGGGAGGCAGCAUG
Molecule: ribosomal RNA, 242 nt
Filed under: uncultured bacterium
Lineage: Bacteria
Description: partial 16S ribosomal RNA
Rfam family: Bacterial small subunit ribosomal RNA
Source: RNAcentral